UACGUAGGGGGCGAGCGUUGUCCGGAAUUAUUGGGCGUAAAGGGCGCGUAGGCGGCUUUUCAAGUGACGGGUGAAAUCCCUCGGCUUAACCGAGGAACUGCCUGUCAGACUGGAAGGCUUGAGACCGGGAGAGGUGAGUGGAAUUCCCAGUGUAGCGGUGAAAUGCGUAGAUAUUGGGAGGAACACCAGUGGCGAAGGCGGCUCACUGGACCGGAACUGACGCUGAGGCGCGAAAGCGUGGGGAGCAAACAGG
Molecule: ribosomal RNA, 253 nt
Filed under: uncultured bacterium
Lineage: Bacteria
Description: partial 16S ribosomal RNA
Rfam family: Bacterial small subunit ribosomal RNA
Source: RNAcentral